This 440-nucleotide ribosomal RNA is filed under the name uncultured bacterium. RNAcentral's name for it is "bacterial SSU rRNA". It matches the Rfam family "Bacterial small subunit ribosomal RNA", at positions 338 to 770 of the family's 1533-position model. The record is from RNAcentral.
CCUACGGGAGGCAGCAGUGGGGAAUCUUGCGCAAUGCGCGAAAGCGUGACGCAGCAACGCCGCGUGGGGGAAGAAGGCCUUCGGGUUGUAAACCCCUUUCAGUUGGGACGAAGCUCCGGCCGUUAACAGCGGACCGGAGUGACGGUACCUUCAGAAGAAGCCCCGGCUAACUACGUGCCAGCAGCCGCGGUAAUACGUAGGGGGCAAGCGUUGUCCGGAAUCAUUGGGCGUAAAGAGCGCGUAGGCGGUCCGGUAAGUCUGCUGUGAAAGUCCAGGGCUCAACCCUGGGAUGCCGGUAGAUACUGUCGGGCUAGAGUCCGGAAGAGGCGAGUGGAAUUCCCGGUGUAGCGGUGAAAUGCGCAGAUAUCGGGAGGAACACCAAUGGCGAAGGCAGCUCGCUGGGACGGUACUGACGCUGAGGCGCGAAAGCGUGGGGAGCA